GAUGAACGCUGGCGGCGUGCCUAAUACACGCAAGUCGAGCGAAAGGUCCUGAUGCUUGUUUCUCUGUCGUUUGCGGCAGCCGGGUGCCUAACCCGAGGAUACCGUACUUCUAGGCCCGGGAUCAUUUGGAGAAACGGGGGAUAAAAUCACAAAAUAUCCUGCAGCGCGGGGUUUGACCGUGAGAGGCGGCGUUGGGGUCACUUCUCGCGGGAUCCGCGCUGCUUUGGCUGGUAGGUAAGGAAACGGCUUACCAAGGCAACGCUGCAUAGCCGACCUGCGAGGGGGAUCGGCCACUCUGGAACUGAGACGCAGUCCAGACUCCUACGGUAGGCAGCAGUAGCGAAUCUUCCGCAAGGGGCGAAAGCCUGACGGAGCAACGCCGCGUGAGUGAUGAAAGUCUUCGGAUCGUAAAACUCUGUUAUGAGGGAAGAACAUAUGUGUAAGUAGCUGUGCACAGCGUGACGGUACCGAAUCAGAAAGCCACGGCUAACUACGUG
Molecule: ribosomal RNA, 497 nt
Filed under: uncultured bacterium
Lineage: Bacteria
Description: partial 16S ribosomal RNA
Rfam family: Bacterial small subunit ribosomal RNA
Source: RNAcentral